AGAGUUUGAUUCUGGCUCAGGAUGAACGCUGGCGGCGUGCCUAACACAUGCAAGUCGAGCGAAGCAAUGUUAAGGAAGUUUACGGAUGGAAUUAAGAUUGACUGAGCGGCGGACGGGUGAGUAACGCGUGGGUAACCUGCCUCAUACAGGGGGAUAACAGUUAGAAAUGACUGCUAAUACCGCAUAAGCGCACAGGACCGCAUGGUCCGGUGUGAAAAACUCCGGUGGUAUGAGAUGGACCCGCGUCUGAUUAGUUAGUUGGCGGGGUAGCGGCCCACCAAGACGACGAUCAGUAGCCGACCUGAGAGGGUGACCGGCCACAUUGGGACUGAGACACGGCCCAAACUCCUACGGGAGGCAGCAGUGGGGAAUAUUGCACAAUGGGGGAAACCCUGAUGCAGCGACGCCGCGUGAGUGAAGAAGUAUUUCGGUAUGUAAAGCUCUAUCAGCAGGGAAGAAGUUGACGGUACCUGAGUAAGAAGCCCCGGCUAACUACGUGCCAGCAGCCGCGGUAAUACGUAGGGGGCAAGCGUUAUCCGGAUUUACUGGGUGUAAAGGGAGCGUANACGGCAGUGCAAGUCUGAAGUGAAAGCCCCGGGCUUAACCCGGGAACUGCUUUGGAAACUGUACGGCUGGAGUGCUGGAAAGGUA
This 651-nucleotide ribosomal RNA is filed under the name uncultured bacterium. RNAcentral's name for it is "bacterial SSU rRNA". It matches the Rfam family "Bacterial small subunit ribosomal RNA", at positions 8 to 659 of the family's 1533-position model. The record is from RNAcentral.